Molecule: long non-coding RNA, 3003 nt
Filed under: Triticum aestivum (bread wheat)
Lineage: Eukaryota; Viridiplantae; Streptophyta; Magnoliopsida; Poales; Poaceae
Description: long non-coding RNA (TAES_LNC027283)
Source: RNAcentral
GUUUCGUUUCCAUCCCUCUCACGUGUGCAGGUGAGCUUCAUAAUAGAGUAGCUAGACCUAUCCGCCUUCCAUUUUCUGAAUUUUUCUGGGAGCUAGUAGUACCUAAAAGGAGGAAGCUGGCAACUCCGUUUACCUAAACGUGUAUAGCACAUGUGAUGCUACAGAAUUUUGUUGGAGCUGGAUGAGACUUUUGCCGUUCCCCUUGUACUCCUUCAUAUAAUCAGUUCAUGUUUUCAAACCAUGUAAGGUAAGAUAUAUCACCUAGAAAGGUACAAAGUAAAACUUCUAUAAGUUUAGUGCGUGUGCGGCUGCAAUUCUGAGCUUCUUGUCCAGCUAUACUAGUGCUGAUGAAUAUUGAUUUGAUUGAAAAUUUAGUUGAUUCCUGAGACCCUUGCUAGUCCUUCUACAUACAGAAAAAUUUUAUUCAUUGUGAGAAGAGAAAAAUGUUGCUCUAGUUAGUUUCUCUUUCAACUAUAUCAUGUACAAGCUCUUGUAGAUACAACAUGUAUAGGCUCUUUAUUAUAUGCCUAGAUCAGCACUUCUUGUUUAUAUGUUACUAAAUUAUGUAGAAUUUCUUCCUGUUUAAGCAUGUUUAUAUGCCUAGCUAUCCCAAGUGCUUGUGGUUGUUUAUUAUAUGUAACUAAAUUGUGAGAAGUUGAUGCUUAAUGUUCUAGUUCAUGCUCCUCUGCAGGUCAACCUCCUGGGAUACACGAAGUUUCAGUUCGUCGAGAGGCUUCCUGGAGCUUCAAAACAUUUCACUUCAACUUUUUAGGCUUUUUCAGUACAUCUUACAAAGUGUGUAAGCUCCCUGGAGUAGCGCCUUCGACGCUUGCCCUGCUUCAGCAGUCGUCAUCGUGAGGAUUAGCUACCGUCUAUUUGGCACGGGACCUACCUACGAUGGUCCCAUCUAUUGUGAGGUACAUCCUUUUUGAAUCUCUCCUCUCCGGCUCCGCAUGGUGAAGAUCUCCGUGUCUACCAUUUGUACUGUCAAUUUAUUUUGAAUUGAACUGGUGCUGCACUUGAUUCAGAUAUGAGGGAAAAACAUAACUACAUAAUUCAGUUUCUGAUUUGCAUCCUAUAAAACCAAACAGUGAAGAAACACACCCCUGUACUUUCGCUCUUGUACUGACAGAUCAUGAAUUUAGGAAGCUGCAACCUUUGACAUUAUUCUGUAUUGAGAUUUUGGUGCGAGAACAAGAACGUCGAGAGCAUGUGUAUGGACAAGUAGUUGUGCUUGGGUAGAAUUUAUUGAGGAUUUUAGAGAGCUGGGCAAGCCAAAGUAAAUCAUGCACUCACCCAAAAGUUCAGCAAAAACGUUUACCUCAGUUCAGACUCAAGAGUUGCUGGUUUCGGUAUUUCCUUACCUUCAUGUGCAGUAACAAAGUGCGUACAUUUGGUGGUUUUGUGAAGGAGUUAAGCUUUUAUUUGAUUUUCAGUUCGGGUUUAUAAAUGGAAUAAAUUUAUGUAGAAUUCAAGGGACUGAGAUUAGAUUUGUACUGUUUGUUCAUGGAAAAGGAAUCUGCUCUUCUCUUUGUUGAAAUUACAAUAUGUAGUUUUGCUCUCAGCAUUGCAAUUUCACAUGUUUGUUGUAUUAAUUAUUAGUUUGUCUAAUUAGCCGGCCGUGUUGUGUAUUCUGGUCAGUUCGUGUGUGUAUUGUGUUGCCCUCGAGCUGUAUGAGAGGCCGCCCGCGGAGCCGAGGAAGUCGUCGAUCUGGUCGAGGCAUGCUCUUAUUCUCAAUUUUCAGUAGCACAUAAAUUUGAAAGUUCGAAUGCCAGACCUUGGUAAGUUCUCCUUGACAAAACAUCAUCUCUCAUAUUUGUUCCUACUUUUGUAGGUUGCAGCAAAAACAAGAUGCACAUGUUCAUUUUUUGUAUGCUUUUCAGUACAUCUACUUCCUGACGGUGAGUUAUAUUUCCUUUGUGUAUCCAUCUUCAUAUAUAGCACAAACAAGUGCUUGUGGUUAUGCUUCAGAAUGAGCACUGUACUGCCUCUUGGUUCAGUUCAAUAUAUAAUUUUAGUUAAGUGCAAUAUAUAAUUUUAGUUUAGUUCAAUAUCUUGAGUAUCACCUUUUUCUCCCAUGAACUCAUGCUAACUAUGAGCAACUAAAUUCACUCUGAAUAUGAUGAUACUAAACCAUAAGUUAGCUCUGAACUCACAUAUUUGUCUUAACAAUUGACAGGUCUGAAUAUGUUGCCCCCACCAUGCCGAUUUACUGCUGCGACCUCGUUGAUUCCCAGCCUUUGAACUGCUCCCUCAAUCCCCUCCGUGGACCACUGCCGACGGUGGGCUGCACCUUCCACGGGAAGCCACGUGAUCGUGUAGACGCAUGUCUUCAUUGAGUCACUCACUGCGCAUAUGUGUGUGUGUUGUGUUUGUGUGUGCGUGGCCGCGACCAUGCUUCGCAUUUCGGUGUUGUGUAUGUGUGGUCGUGUGGUCGUCUCACCUCAAACACAUCCUAGGCUGGUGCAUGAGUUGCUGAGGAAACGCCCAAGGUUGUGGCCUCUCGACCACAACUUCGUCUCAUGGAAGUUGUUGGAUGUGGACAGCCAGAACAAGUUCAAUUCCACAUGGCUCAUCGAGGAGAAAAAGAAGAGGAACUUGAGUGGUUUCUCUGUGGAGAAGGGUAGAAGAAAUUGUGCUCUGAACAUGCUUGUUGAUACGCCCAUGAGAACGGGUGCAUUUUUCUAUAGAUUUUUGUGUUGCUGACAAAGCUACACAAGUUGUAUUUUUACAAGUUGAACUUAACAAUAUCAUCUAGAAAGUUCGUGCAUGUGUGGAUGUUCUUUUGACAUUGAACUGUUAAGUGCUUGCAAAAUCUACAGUGUUGAUCCAUCAGCAUUCGCAGCUUUUCACCUUAGUUGUGUAUGUUAUGUGUUUCAAAUGCUCAAUGAAGUUUAUGCUCUCAGUUCAUGUAUAACUACCUAGGCAUUCAUGUAUUACUAACCAGUAAGUACACCCGUUACUUUUCCCACUUAUCUGUGCUAGUGGUGAAUAGUUCAAAUU